CUGAGACAAUAUGUUGAAGGGCAAUAGAGGUCUUUGUGAUGUCAACAUCUUGGUCUUUGUCUUUGAAUUUACUCUUUUAUGUGUGACAUUUUUUUCUUUGUGUUUUGCUUUGUGUUUUACGUUUUUGGUUUCUUUGAGUCUUUGUGUUUUUGUUUCCAUACUUAGUCAUUUUUUUUCGUUGGUUUCUUUGUUUUGUGUCAUAGUCUUUUUGGUUUGUUAGUUUUUGAUUUUGCUAAGGGACUAGCAAAAGCUAAGUGUGGGGGAAUUUGAUAGGAGCAUUUUAAAGUGGUAUUUUAAUAGUUAAUUCCUCACAUUUUGCUUAGUUAAUUCCUUAACGAAUCGAUUUUUAACUCAAUUUCUAUUUUCUUAGGUACAUUGGAGUAAAUGAUGGUGAAAUGAGCAUUAGGUCCACACUUACCUAUAAAUGGUGGAGAAAAAUGGAAAUGUACUAAAAUGUCAAUUUUACACAUUUUCCUACUCCGGCUAGGAGAAACCAAGCCAAGCAAGGAAGAAGGAGCGGCCGCCGGACCAAAUGAACUUCAAAUGAGCUGAAACUUUCCAGAUCCAUUCUACACAUCCUAAGGAUCAUUUCUUAUGAAGAGUGCCAGAGCUAUAAUUGAGUGGAAGGCCUUCAAACAGUCAGCCCAAUUUCCUGCAGAAGCAAAACUGGAAAACUGGACCUGUAAGAGGUCCAGCAGCAUUUCCAGCCCAAAGGCAUGGAAAUAAAUUCUGAAAUUUUACCAAAAUGAUCUACACUCAUGGUAGAUCAUUUCAUAUGAAGAAGUCACAAGCCAAAACUGAAUUCCUGUUGGAGAAAUAAUUGAAGGAAUAAAAUGGCAGAAACUGACCUAAAACAGCUCAACACCACAUGUUCAAGUUUCCUACCCACAUGAAGAAAGCUAGAUGCUUUUCUCUUUUUCCUUGGAUAUAUUUUUCUGCUCCAAUAGAUCAUCAUCACUUCCAUACUUCUGCACCUUCAUGCCUUGCUUUCAUUUCAUCAUUACUCCAUCUUUUCCAUAUUUUACAAACCACUUUCAUUAUUUUUCUUCCAUUUAUCAUUUCACUCUUCUUUUUCUUCCCUAUAUAAACACCUUCUCCUCUCACUCUAAGUACAUUCCUUCAUCCAUUUCAUCUUCUUUGUCUCUCCAUUUCUAUUCCAUUUUUCUCUCCAUUCUCUAGUUGCAAAAUUCUGCGUUUUCAAGUAAGAAGAAGAAGAAGAAGAAGGAGCCGGGAAUAUCAUAUCCUCCAUCGUCCACCUUGAAGGCUUGCUUCCAAGAUUCAAGAUUUCAACGUUUCAAGCACUCCAUCUCCAUCUCCAACUCACGGUGUGUACCCUCAAUCCCCGGAAUAGAACGAUCCCUAUUUGCUUAUACUACUAACGAUGUUUUCAGGGUUAAAUUAUGCGCUUGCUUUGAGCGUAUCAUGUUGCUGCAAUGGCUCCCAACACAGAAGAAGGAAAUAAGCAGAGUUGCGGAAAUCGAAAGAAAUUGGCGCGAAAUUGGAGCAAAUUGAAAUAUUCCGACAAAAGGACAAAAUAGUAGAGCAUGGGUCAAGCACUAGUCGACACUGUCAAGAAAUGCGGAAGAAAAUUGGGGAAAAGAAAUAAAUUGAAGAAAAGGAAAAUUACAACCUUAAUUAACCAUUAGUUUUAAUUAACCAAUGGUUGGUUAAUUAAGGCUAAUCAUGUGCUGCACGUUAGCUUAAUUGGAAGAGACUAAGUGGUGUUAGCUCAGUGCUUAGUCAUGGGUUCGAGUCACCAUGGGGGCAGGAGUGAAACCAUUUGAUCCUCUUUUUAAAUAGAAGAAAAAAAAAAAAUAACAAAAAAAAAAAAAAUAAAUUGGACGGGUCUAAAACCAUUGUCGACACAUGGCAGCAGUACAAUUAAGCAGGGUGGCUUAAUUAAGUUAGGAAGCAUUGCAGCGUGUUUUUGCUUCACUACACGCCAAAGACAAAAUCCUCUCCUUCUCUCGCGCGUCAACAGCCAUCCACCUAUCUCAUAUCCCUUCAAAAAGACCACGUUUCCAAUUAAUCAGUCUCCCAACAGCUAUUUACUAGCAAUGUUGCCCGCGCUUUGCCGCGGGGUUUGGAGCUAAUUCUCCCGCGCGAUGGUGUGGGUUUUUUUUUUAGGAUGAUAAUUUUGAGGAAAGAUAUACUUCAAGAUUGAACUAAAAUCAACCACUACAUAAUGGAACAAUUACUUGCUUUGAGCUGAAACUGAGAGCAUAGCUUGUAUACAUAAAAAUAUGAUGUAAAUCAUAUUACAAUUGAGCAAGUAGGGAGAGAUUUCAUGGAUUGCAGCUUUAAGAAAAUCAAUGAAGCCCAUCAUAUUUGUCAGUGUUCAA
Long non-coding RNA from Rosa rugosa (rugosa rose), 2342 nucleotides. RefSeq lists it as uncharacterized. Lineage: Eukaryota; Viridiplantae; Streptophyta; Magnoliopsida; Rosales; Rosaceae. The transcript has 3 exons. The record is from RefSeq and is a predicted model, not a curated record.